GAUGAACGCUGGCGGCGUGCUUAACACAUGCAAGUCGAGCGAAGCAGUUAAGUUGAUUUCUUCGGAUUGAUUCUUAAUUGACUGAGCGGCGGACGGGUGAGUAACGCGUGGGUGACCUGCCCCAUACCGGGGGAUAACAGCUGGAAACGGCUGCUAAUACCGCAUAAGCGCACAGAGCUGCAUGGCUCAGUGUGAAAAACUCCGGUGGUAUGGGAUGGGCCCGCGUCUGAUUAGGCAGUUGGCGGGGUAACGGCCCACCAAACCGACGAUCAGUAGCCGGCCUGAGAGGGCGACCGGCCACAUUGGGACUGAGACACGGCCCAAACUCCUACGGGAGGCAGCAGUGGGGAAUAUUGCACAAUGGGGGAAACCCUGAUGCAGCGACGCCGCGUGAGCGAAGAAGUAUUUCGGUAUGUAAAGCUCUAUCAGCAGGGAAGAUAAUGACGGU
RNAcentral lists this ribosomal RNA (448 nucleotides) under uncultured bacterium. RNAcentral describes it as "bacterial SSU rRNA". It matches the Rfam family "Bacterial small subunit ribosomal RNA", at positions 28 to 458 of the family's 1533-position model. The record is from RNAcentral.